ACGGAGGUUGCAAGCGUUAUCCGGAUUUAUUGGGUUUAAAGGGUGCGUAGGCGGGAUAAUAAGUCAGUGGUGAAAGCCUGCAGCUUAACUGUAGAAUUGCCAUUGAUACUGUUGUUCUUGAGUCUAGUUGAGGUGGGCGGAAUGUGUAAUGUAGCGGUGAAAUGCUUAGAUAUUACACAGAACACCAAUUGCGUAGGCAGCUCACUAAACUAUAACUGACGCUGAGGCACGAAAGCGUGGGUAGCAAACAGGAUUAGAUACCCUGGUAGUCCACGCCGUAAACGAUGAUCACUCGAUGUGUGCAAUAUAUCGUACGCGUCUAAGUAAAAGCAUUAAGUGAUCCACCUGGGGAGUACGUCGGCAACGAUG
Molecule: ribosomal RNA, 369 nt
Filed under: uncultured bacterium
Lineage: Bacteria
Description: bacterial SSU rRNA
Rfam family: Bacterial small subunit ribosomal RNA
Source: RNAcentral